AGGACGAACGCUGGCGGCGUGCUUAACACAUGCAAGUCGAGCGGAAAGGCCCUUCGGGGUACUCGAGCGGCGAACGGGUGAGUAACACGUGAGCAACCUGCCCUUAGCUUCGGGAUAGCUCCGGGAAACCGGAAUUAAUACCGAAUAUGACUUUGGCUGACAUCGGCAGAAGUGGAAAGUUUUUCGGCUAGGGAUGGACUCGCGGCCUAUCAGCUAGUUGGUGAGGUAACGGCCCACCAAGGCGACGACGGGUA
RNAcentral lists this ribosomal RNA (254 nucleotides) under uncultured bacterium. Its description in RNAcentral is "partial small subunit ribosomal RNA". It matches the Rfam family "Bacterial small subunit ribosomal RNA", at positions 26 to 285 of the family's 1533-position model. The record is from RNAcentral.